AGAGUUUGAUCCUGGCUCAGGACGAACGCUGGCGGCGUGCUUAACACAUGCAAGUCGAACGGUAAGGCCCUUCGGGGUACACGAGUGGCGAACGGGUGAGUAACACGUGGGUAAUCUGCCCUGCACAUCGGGAUAAGCCUGGGAAACUGGGUCUAAUACCGAAUAGGACCACAGGACACAUGUCCUGUGGUGGAAAGCUUUUGCGGUGUGGGAUGGGCCCGCGGCCUAUCAGCUUGUUGGUGGGGUGAUGGCCUACCAAGGCGACGACGGGUAGCCGGCCUGAGAGGGUGUCCGGCCACACUGGGACUGAGAUACGGCCCAGACUCCUACGGGAGGCAGCAGUGGGGAAUAUUGCACAAUGGGCGAAAGCCUGAUGCAGCGACGCCGCGUGGGUGAUGACGGCCUUCGGGUUGUAAACCUCUUUCACCAUCGACGAAGGUCCGGGUUUUCUCGGGCUGACGGUAGGUGGAGAAGAAGCACCGGCCAACUACGUGCCAGCAGCCGCGGUAAUACGUAGGGUGCGAGCGUUGUCCGGAAUUACUGGGCGUAAAGAGCUCGUAGGUGGUUUGUCGCGUUGUUCGUGAAAUCUCACGGCUUAACUGUGAGCGUGCGGGCGAUACGGGCAGACUUGAGUACUGCAGGGGAGACUGGAAUUCCUGGUGUAGCGGUGGAAUGCGCAGAUAUCAGGAGGAACACCGGUGGCGAAGGCGGGUCUCUGGGCAGUAACUGACGCUGAGGAGCGAAAGCGUGGGGAGCGAACAGGAUUAGAUACCCUGGUAGUCC
This 783-nucleotide ribosomal RNA is filed under the name uncultured bacterium. RNAcentral describes it as "bacterial SSU rRNA". It matches the Rfam family "Bacterial small subunit ribosomal RNA", at positions 8 to 796 of the family's 1533-position model. The record is from RNAcentral.